UACGUAGGUGGCAAGCGUUGUCCGGAGUUAUUGGGCGUAAAGCGCGCGCAGGCGGUGCGUUAAGUCUCUGGUGAAAGCGCUCGGCUUAACUGGGCGAGGGCCGGGGAGACUGCCACGCUGGAGGGGAGCAGAGGCGAGUGGAAUUCCGGGUGUAGUGGUGAAAUGCGUAGAGAUCCGGAGGAACACCAGAGGCGAAGGCGGCCUGCUGGGCUGCACCUGACGCUGAGCCGCGAAAGCGAGGGGAGCGAACGGG
RNAcentral lists this ribosomal RNA (253 nucleotides) under uncultured bacterium. RNAcentral's name for it is "partial 16S ribosomal RNA". It matches the Rfam family "Bacterial small subunit ribosomal RNA", at positions 524 to 776 of the family's 1533-position model. The record is from RNAcentral.